GAUCUCAGUCUCUCUCUCUCUCUCCUCUUCCUUAUUCACUCCAUCAAUGACGACGCCCUCUCUCUCAUCUUCCCACUUCUCUCCAUCGACGAUACGAUGCCCUCUCUUUCUCCUCUUCCUUCUUCACUCAAUCAAUGAUGACAACACCCGCUCUCUCUCCUCUUCCUUAUUUGCUCCAUCGACAACGACACCCUCUCUCUCAUCUUCCUUCUUCUCACGCGAAGCUCUGUUUUUCAUCUGGUGAGGUUGGCUCCUAUCAUGCAUUUCGUUAUUGGUGGCUUCCAGACCUCUAACCCCUGGUGUUGAACACAAAAAAUUACAUGAUAAGGAAAGGGGCCCAGGAUAAAAGCCCAAGACAUGAAGGUUGAUCUUUAAGGCUGCUGAUUGUCCCUUAAGGUCAGUUUUCAAUAAAACAAAUAAAAAAAUAAAAGGUGGGAAGAGAUCGUGUUUAUCCUCUGCAAAUCCAUUCAGCACAGAGGCCGCUUACUUAGCAAACGUGCUUCCCCAACUGCUAUUGAUCUUUUGCCUAUAAAAGUCAUGAACGUACAGAGGCAAAGGGGGGGAAAAAAAAGCAGAGGCGAGAAAUCUGAAGGAGGAACGAAGGGCUGCAGAAAUUGAAGGCAAGAAGCAAAAGGAGAAAAUCCAAAGUGCUGCAAAGAAGAAAGAGUCAGGUUGCUGAAAUUCUAAAACGCCAGAAAAUAAAAGAAGGAACUAAGUGCUCCAAAGGUUACCAGAAAAGCAAAUCAAAAGCAUCAUUGGCAAGGUAUCAAUAUAUUUGUAGGUUCUGUGCUCUUUGUUGUUAAUUUAACUUGCGAGCAAAAAGAGCUUUGGUUGUCAACAAUUGCAGCCACCAUAAUGACGUCAAGACAGCAGCAAGUCAAGGCUUUGAGAAUGUGCAGUGCGAAAUUCCUCCAUGCCCUUGCUGUCAAUUUGUCACAGAGAUCUCAAGAAAUUGCAAGGGAAAGGAUUAGAUCCCUCCCAAACAUAAAAUGGUGGUGUCACUGCAACAUUGCAUAGAAAGACCUCUCGCAAGGACCUCUUUUCUGUGAAAAUAUACAGAGGACUUCUGCAAGAACUCCACUGUAUUAAUCCUUCCAAAUUGGUGAUGGCAGCACAACUUA
Long non-coding RNA from Prunus avium (sweet cherry), 1121 nucleotides. RefSeq lists it as uncharacterized. Lineage: Eukaryota; Viridiplantae; Streptophyta; Magnoliopsida; Rosales; Rosaceae. The record is from RefSeq and is a predicted model, not a curated record.